CCUACGGGAGGCAGCAGUAGGGAAUAUUGCGCAAUGGGGGAAACCCUGAAGCAGCAACGCCGCGUGGAGGAUGAAGGUUUUAGGAUUGUAAAGUCCUUUUGUUAGAGAGGAUGGUGACUGUAUCUAACGAAUAGGCACCGGCUAACUACGUGCCAGCAGCCACGGUAAUACGGAGGGUGCGAGCGUUCAUCGGAAUCACUGGGCGUAAGGAGUGCGGAGGCGGGGUAAUAAGUCAGAUGUGAAAUCCUGUAGCUUAACUAGAGAACUGCAUUUGAUACUGUGACUCUGGAGUGUGUGAGAGGUAGGUAGAAUUCUUGGUGUAGGGGUAAAAUCCGUAGAGAUCAAGAGGAAUACUCAGUGCGAAGGCGACCCGUUGGAACAGUACUGACGCUGAUGUACGAAAGCGUGGGGAGCAAACAGGAUUAGAUACCCCUGUAGUC
RNAcentral lists this ribosomal RNA (440 nucleotides) under uncultured bacterium. Its description in RNAcentral is "partial 16S ribosomal RNA". It matches the Rfam family "Bacterial small subunit ribosomal RNA", at positions 338 to 795 of the family's 1533-position model. The record is from RNAcentral.